This 292-nucleotide ribosomal RNA is filed under the name uncultured bacterium. Its description in RNAcentral is "partial 16S ribosomal RNA". It matches the Rfam family "Bacterial small subunit ribosomal RNA", at positions 505 to 796 of the family's 1533-position model. The record is from RNAcentral.
GUGUCAGCCGCCGCGGUAAUACGGAGGGUGCAAGCGUUGUUCGGAAUCACUGGGCGUAAAGGGCGCGUAGGCGGUCCCACAAGUCCGAUGUGAAAGCCCGGGGCUCAACCCCGGAAGUGCAUUGGAAACUGUGGGACUUGAGUUCGGGAGAGGAAGGCAGAAUUCCCGGUGUAGGGUUGAAAUCCGUAGAUAUCGGGAGGAAAACCGGUGGCGAAGGCGGCCUUCUGGAACGAAACUGACGCUGAGGCGCGAAAGCGUGGGGAGCAAACAGGAUUAGAAACCCCCGUAGUCC